CUUGCCUCUGAUUGCAACGCGAUAUCUUUUUUGCGUGGAAAUUUAAGGACAUUUUACAAUUGCACGUUUCCUCCUAGUGACUAGAUGAGUGUUCGUGCAAUUCAUGAAAACACCUUUUGUACCGCAGGCUACUUAAUAUCUAGUGCCGGUGCCAAUAUACUGCCACUGGGCGGAUCCCUUUAUAUUAUUGCCAGUUUGCUCAUAUGCUACCUUCUCUCGUUUCCAGAAGUCAUGCGCAGACUUUUGCUUGUGCUCUUGCUCUUUGGCUAUAUUUUGAGUGCUUUUUUUGCGUUCCGUGCGAUGGUCAAAAGCCGGGGCCACCUAAAAGUGCCAACCACACAUAAAAAAAAUACCGAUCAGUAAUAAACCAACGAGAGUGACCAACUUUUAAAUCGUUUUUGUAUACCGUUGAAGUUCCCAAAAAUUUUCAAGCACGCGCAGUAACUAAUCCGUAUAAUCGACCGCCGUGGCGCAUUGCACUAAUUCUUAUUAAUUAACGAGCCAAUGCGACUCCUGGUCCCGAGGCGCCUGAGGGGUAUUUUAUCCGUCUGGAGCUCUUUGACGUAUAUUAAAGCAUGCUACGUUAGCAUUUUUGCAUUUGUCGCCCCCUGAAACCAGGUGACCCUACAGGGGGAUCGAACCUGCGACCUUUCUUCUCAGCAGCGGAACACCAUAGCCCCUCACCGGCCACGGAGGAUAAAACUUACACUGAGAAAACGACGAGGAUUUCUUUAUGUUUUUUUUUUUACGUUGAACCAUUCUUAGUUUGACAAGUUUGUCCAUUUCAUCGUGAGAUGUUUACAACAGAGUUUUCUUUUUUUUUUCAGCGAUAUUAAAUUGUGUGGUGGAACAUCGACGCUGGAACAGUAUUUGGGACAGGAGUGGAACAAUACAUGCCCCGUUCCAAAGUUAACAACAAGGAUAAGCGUUGAAACGCUGCUGACGAAUUCAUUUGAUGCCCUGGUCGGAGGGGCCCCAACGACAAUCAACAUAGCAUUAGAAGUUUUUGAUGGAGGUUCAUCUGUGGGCUGCGAGACAUUCGAUGUCCACAUAAAAGCCGCAGAUGAGGACGACGAGUGAAUAAAGCUGCGUAAACCCGUGAAAUGGGGAGGUCACUA
This is a long non-coding RNA of Dermacentor andersoni, 1118 nucleotides long. RefSeq lists it as uncharacterized. NCBI's taxonomy places the organism in Eukaryota, Metazoa, Arthropoda, Arachnida, Ixodida, Ixodidae. The record is from RefSeq and is a predicted model, not a curated record.